CCUACGGGCGGCAGCAGUGAGGAAUAUUGGUCAAUGGGCGCGAGCCUGAACCAGCCAAGUAGCGUGAAGGAUGACUGCCCUACGGGUGGUAAACUUCUUUUAUAAAGGAGUAAAGUGAGGCACGUGUGCCUUUAUGCAUGUACUUUAUGAAUAAGGAUCGGCUAACUACGUGCCAGCAGCCGAGGUAAUACGGAGGAUCCGAGCGUUAUCCGGAUUUAUUGGGUUUAAAGGGAGCGUAGAUGGGUUGUUAAGUCAGUUGUGAAAGUUUGCGGCUCAACCGUACAAUUGCAAUUGAUACUGGCAGUCUUGAGUACAGUUGAGGUAGGCGGAAUUCGUGGUGUAGCGGUGAAAUGCUUAGAUAUCACGAAGAACUCCGAUUGCGAAGGCAGCUUUCUAAACUGCCACUGACAUUGAUGCUCGAAAGUGUGGGUAUCAAACAGGAUUAGAUACCCCGGUAGUC
Molecule: ribosomal RNA, 460 nt
Filed under: uncultured bacterium
Lineage: Bacteria
Description: partial 16S ribosomal RNA
Rfam family: Bacterial small subunit ribosomal RNA
Source: RNAcentral